RNAcentral lists this ribosomal RNA (497 nucleotides) under uncultured bacterium. RNAcentral describes it as "partial 16S ribosomal RNA". It matches the Rfam family "Bacterial small subunit ribosomal RNA", at positions 28 to 507 of the family's 1533-position model. The record is from RNAcentral.
GAUGAACGCUGGCGGCGUGCCUAAUACAUGCAAGUCGAGCGAACAGACGAGGAGCUUGCUCCUCUGACGUUAGCGGCGGACGGGUGAGUAACACGUGGAUAACCUACCUAUAAGACUGGGAUAACUUCGGGAAACCGGAGCUAAUACCGGAUAAUAUAUUGAACCGCAUGGUUCAAUAGUGAAAGACGGUUUUGCUGUCACUUAUAGAUGGAUCCGCGCCGCAUUAGCUAGUUGGUAAGGUAACGGCUUACCAAGGCAACGAUGCGUAGCCGACCUGAGAGGGUGAUCGGCCACACUGGAACUGAGACACGGUCCCGACUCCUACGGGAGGCAGCAGUAGGGAAUCUUCCGCAAUAGGCGAAAGCCUGACGGAGCAACGCCGCGUGAGUGAUGAAGGUCUUCGGAUCGUAAAACUCUGUUAUUAGGGAAGAACAAAUGUGUAAGUAACUAUGCACGUCUUGACGGUACCUAAUCAGAAAGCCACGGCUAACUACGUG